Molecule: transfer RNA, 70 nt
Filed under: Dicrurus macrocercus (black drongo)
Lineage: Eukaryota; Metazoa; Chordata; Aves; Passeriformes; Dicruridae
Description: tRNA-Arg
Source: RNAcentral
AGAAAGCUAGUCUAACUAAGACAGUUGACUUCGACUCAACAGAUUAUAGCUAACACCCUAUAGCUUUCUU